AUGCAGGAAAUGUUACAAUACAACUGAAGUGUUUUAUUGUCGUUCCCCCUGCUUACAGCAUAUGAUUCAUACUAUCUCUGUCUAGCUCCAAUUCAUAGUAGGACAGAGACGCUUGGUCUCAAACAG
Molecule: small nucleolar RNA, 126 nt
Organism: Ochotona princeps (American pika)
Lineage: Eukaryota; Metazoa; Chordata; Mammalia; Lagomorpha; Ochotonidae
Product: small nucleolar RNA SNORA63
Exons: 1
Source: RefSeq, a predicted model, not a curated record